This 1808-nucleotide unclassified non-coding RNA is filed under the name Bombus terrestris (buff-tailed bumblebee). RNAcentral's name for it is "misc RNA ENSBTSG00005029783.1". Lineage: Eukaryota; Metazoa; Arthropoda; Insecta; Hymenoptera; Apidae. The record is from RNAcentral.
CCACUAAUGCCAUGUUUCCAAAUUCUGUUAAAUUUCGUUUAUUUAUAAAAUCCUACGUAAAAAUAAAUUUUUAUUAGAAAAAUAAUAUUCCCUCCCACAAAAUAGUAAAAAUAUUAUAAUUCGAAGUUGACAUAAAAAGUUACUUACAUCAACUCCAUCUAGUGAUCUAUUCUGCGUUACAACAAACUUUUUUAUAAGUAUAAAUUCUUGUACAUUAUAAAUGCAUAUAUUUUUAGAAUGCCCCCCAGCUAAUAUGCACGUACCAUCAGCUGAAUAACAAAGAACAGUAAACGCCCUAAAAAUUUGAUUUAAUUAAGGUAAUUUUAAUUGUACCCAAAUUACUUUUAUUUCAUUAUGUAUGGUAUAUUCAUACUUUUAAAUAUACGUACUUGCCCUUAAGACUUUGCUUAGCUGUAACAAGAUCAGUAUCAGAUCUUCCACUGCCUAGAUCAUUUCUUCCUUCAAUACUACCAAUUUGUACCGCCGUUUUACAAUUGAAAAAUGAAAUUUGCCCAUCCAAAGUGGCAACUGCUACUUCUUCACCAUUUGGUUUGUAUGUAACAUAUAAACCAUCAGCAGUUAACUGUAUCGUUUCAUGUAAAGAACCACUUUCAAUUGCAUUCCAUAUUUUCAGUGUUUUGUCCCAAGAUACGGAUACUAAUUCCGUGCUUGUAACAUUUGGAUUAAAUGCCAAACUGGCGAUUGGACCUUCGUGUCCACUUAAUCUCCAAAAGUUUUCCCAGUUUGACGCUCCACAAAUAAAUUUCAAAAAAGUCUUGGCCUCCAGCUACAAGAAACUCAUCACUUGAAUCUAAAGCAACGCAGGAAAACUGUACGGGUCGAGGAGAGGUAAGAGUUCGAAAAUUUCUGUACCUCGCUAAAUCAUAUGCUCUAACAGUUCCGUCAAGCGAUGCAGAAACAAUAAAUUUUCUAUUAUGACUAAAUAUCACUCCUGUUAUCGUAGAUGUAUGUUCUUGAAAUGUAAUAGAACAAAAUCCAUUCAUAGUGUUCCAUAAUUUAACUUUCGCGUCAUCACCUCCGGUAACAAUGUAUUGGCCAUCAGGACUGUAUGCCAAACAGUUUAUAUUACUACUGUGGCUUUGUUGCUUCAUGGCAUAAGUUUCACUUUGCCAUUCCCAUACUAAUAAUUGACCAGCUGUAGAACAUCCUAAGGCUAUCCAAUCACCAGUUGAAUUUAUGGCAAUCGAUGUAAUAUAUUGGUCUGAUAUACUGAAAAAUGAAGAUUAUUAGAAAUAAAUUACAUUAAUGUUAAAAAGAUAUAAAUACUAUAUUAAAUAAUAUAACUAAUUAAACAAUACCUUAGAGAAUGUAUCAUAUUUACAUCAGGCAUUUCAUAUAAAUAAAAUGCACCAAUACUGAAUCCUACUACUAAGAUAUUAGUCUGUUGAUGAUAUGCAGCUGCAGUUAAUAUUAGUUUACCUUUCUUUUGGCUUUGAACUACAUCAGCUAGAUAAUGACGACCCAGUUUAUUAUAACGUAAUUGUUUGGUUUCUGUCUCAUUUUCAGAACCUUCUACAAUUGGUUCAGUUAAAUCUCCUGUGAAAUAUAAUCUGUAUUACAUAUCUUAUGUCCUUCUUUAAUUUAUUUGUACAUUAAAUACAAAAUUAUAAAAGAAAAAUUACUUGAUUUCAAUAAAUCGCGUUCAUGAGCUUUAAUCUGUUUGUCUGUUUUCUCUAUAGCUUUUUCAAUAUUAACAUCAUCUUCUUCAUCACUAUCUGUUCUUUUGCCUCUUUUAAUUGGAGGUACGUUGGAUGGCAUUAAAUCUUCUGGAUCAAUUGUACACUCCC